This 463-nucleotide ribosomal RNA is filed under the name uncultured bacterium. Its description in RNAcentral is "bacterial SSU rRNA". It matches the Rfam family "Bacterial small subunit ribosomal RNA", at positions 335 to 795 of the family's 1533-position model. The record is from RNAcentral.
ACUCCUACGGGAGGCAGCAGUGAGGAAUAUUGGUCAAUGGGCGGAAGCCUGAACCAGCCAUCCCGCGUGAAGGAAGAAGGCCUUAUGGGUUGUAAACUUCUUUUCUGUUUGAAGAAUAAGCUUGUCGAGACAAGUGAUGCCGGUAGGACAGGAAUAAGCAUCGGCUAACUCCGUGCCAGCAGCCGCGGUAAUACGGAGGAUGCAAGCGUUAUCCGGAUUUAUUGGGUUUAAAGGGUGCGCAGGUGGUUUAAUAAGUCAGUGGUGAAAGUCUGCCGCUUAACGGUAGGAUUGCCAUUGAUACUGUUGGACUUGAAUAUGGAUGAGGUAGGCGGAAUGUGUAGUGUAGCGGUGAAAUGCUUAGAUAUUACACAGAACACCGAUUGCGAAGGCAGCUUACUAAUCCAUGAUUGACGCUGAGGCACGAAAGCGUGGGGAUCAAACAGGAUUAGAUACCCUGGUAGUC